CAAUAGCGUAUAUUAAAGUUGUUGCAGUUAAAAAGCUCGUAGUUGGAUUUCGGGACGGGCCAGUUGGUCCGCCGCAAGGUGUGUUACUGACUGGUCUGUUCUUCUUCGCAAAGACUGCGUGUGCUCGUCGUUGAGUGUGCGUAGGAUUUACGACGUUUACUUUGAAAAAAUUAGAGUGUUCAAAGCAGGCUAUCGCUUGAAUACAUGAGCAUGGAAUAAUGGAAUAGGACUUUGGUCCUAUUUUGUUGGUUUCUAGGACCGAAGUAAUGAUUAAGAGGGACAAUUGGGGGCAUCCGUAUUUCGUUGUCAGAGGUGAAAUUCUUGGAUUUACGAAAGACGAACAACUGCGAAAGCACUUGCCAAGAGUGUUUUCAUUAA
This 378-nucleotide ribosomal RNA is filed under the name uncultured eukaryote. RNAcentral's name for it is "partial 18S ribosomal RNA". It matches the Rfam family "Eukaryotic small subunit ribosomal RNA", at positions 592 to 976 of the family's 1831-position model. The record is from RNAcentral.